CCUUUUAAAGAUUUCCCCACCUUUCAAUAGCAUCAUAGGAGGGGGACCAAGCUUUUGGGGGACACAGGCAAACUUAAAGAUCUGAAAAUGGACACUAAGACUCAUUGUGGGCACAAAAGAGCCACUAAUCAGGAAAAUGCCCAAGCUUUUUCAGAGAGAUUGACUGGCAGCAGUGGUGAAGAGAGAGACCUACCAAUCUUACAAGGCACUCUACCAUGUGGAUUUUCCACUGCGCUGCUCACAGCUUAUCCAGUUUCCUUGUUGUGGUCAAUGGCCAGAUGGCCUGUUAGAAUUUGUCUUGCGUCAUAUCUGAAGAAAUCAUAUAGAGAGGUAACUAAAUGGACAGCCUUCGCCCUGGUAGAAUUUCCUAUCUGCUCUAGUAGUAGGCAUCACAGUGACACCAACCAAUGUCUGUGUCUCAGUUAAACUUCAAUAUAAUCAUAUUUUCUGUGUAUCAGAUGAUUAAUUGCUACAUUACUCAGCAGAUGGACAUAUGUUAACAGCUUCAUUCAAAAGGAGAAAUGACCUACAGGCCUUUUUAAAAAAUCACUUUCUUUCAUUUUGGCAUCUUAAGCAAAUUUCUUGAAACAGCCAGAGUCCAAAGUAGCUGUUACUACUCUUUGACCUACUACACAGCUUCAGAAAGGGGUUACAGUGAAACUGUGUGUGGAUAGAUAUUUUUGUUGUUAAACACCUUCUGAAUGUGCCUGGUUCCAAGGAUAAGCUAGUGAACACCACAGAUGCAGAUAGGUGAAUGGGAAGCACAACAUUCGGUGUAUUAAAAGUCAGUUAAAAAGAAGAAAUUACAAGAAUGCCAUGAAGUUCCUUUAUUCCUUCUUUCUUUAUUCCACAAAUAUUUGAGGGUGUCUUUUGAGGGAUAUUAAAGUACAGAGACAAAGCCCUAGUGAAAGAGCAAAGGAAAAUACAGGGAAAAAAACAGCAUGAGAGGGUAACAGGGAGAGGGAGAGAGUAAUCUGUCAAGGACUUUGUCUCUUUUUCUGUUCCAUAAGCAUUUGUUUCUUUAGGAUAAACUAUAUAAAGCCAUCUCUGUAUCUCAACUUACAUAGUAACUGGGAGAGUACUGUCAGACCCAGAUUUAUAUGACCAUAUUAUUCACUUCUUAAUUUGUGAGCCCAGCAAGUACCAGAAUGUUGAUAGUUUGUGUUUUGUCUAAUAUUAAUACUUUACAGACAGUAUUUACUUUGUGCCACAUAAACCUAUAAGCACUUAAAAUUCGCUUAAUCCUCACAAAAAUUCCAUGAAGCAGGUAUUUUUAAUCCCUAUUUUAUAUAAAAGGAUACCAAGGCACAGAGAAGUCAUGAAAUUUGCCCAACGUCCUACAACUAGUCCUUGUUGAAACCAGGAACCGAACUUCCAUUUCUAGAGUCUGUGUUGCCUACUGCUCACAAUGUCUGUCAAUAAAUGACACAUGGUAAAAUUAGAACUAAGCA
This 1451-nucleotide long non-coding RNA is filed under the name Castor canadensis (American beaver). Its description in RNAcentral is "lncRNA (ENSCCNG00000007430.1)". Lineage: Eukaryota; Metazoa; Chordata; Mammalia; Rodentia; Castoridae. The record is from RNAcentral.